GCCCGCUCAGAAACUCAAAGGAAGUUGACGGGGCCCGCACAAGCGGUGGAGUAUGUGGUUUAAUUCGAUGCAACGCGGAGAACCUUACCUGGUCUUGACAUCCCGGAGACCCUUAGGAAACUAGGGGGUGCUUCCAUCUGGAAGAAUCUGGAGACAGGUGCUGCAUGGCUGUCGUCAGCUCGUGUCGUGAGAUGUUGGGUUAAGUCCCGCAACGAGCGCAACCCUUGCCUUUAGUUGCCAGCAGUUCGGCUGGGCACUCUAAAGGGACUGCCGGUGUUAAACCGGAGGAAGGUGGGGAUGACGUCAAGUCCUCAUGGCCUUUAUGACCAGGGCUACACACGUACUACAAUGGCCGAUACAAAGGGCAGCGACACUGCGAGGUGAAGCCAAUCCCGUAAAAUCGGUCUCAGUCCGGAUUGGAGUCUGCAACUCGACUCCAUGAAGUUGGAAUCGCUAGUAAUCGUGGAUCAGCAUGCCACGGUGAAUACGUUCCCGGGCCUU
RNAcentral lists this ribosomal RNA (501 nucleotides) under uncultured Desulfobulbus sp. RNAcentral describes it as "bacterial SSU rRNA". It matches the Rfam family "Bacterial small subunit ribosomal RNA", at positions 887 to 1382 of the family's 1533-position model. Lineage: Bacteria; Pseudomonadati; Thermodesulfobacteriota; Desulfobulbia; Desulfobulbales; Desulfobulbaceae. The record is from RNAcentral.